CUCAGGACGAAAAUUAAGACUCUAAAGUAAACAAACCAACAAAAAGACUCUGCCUCUGCGGAAAGAGGCUGCAAAACUCCGGGGCCGGCGCGCGCUCCCACCGCGCACAACCCACGAGCGCUCAGCGCCGCGCGCGACGGCCACAGCCGGGUCAGAAAAGUGGACGCCGCACCCCGGGCUUUCUGGGAGCGGAACGCACAGGUCGGCCCCGCGGCCCGGCUCGCCCUCUUCUCGCUGCCCCUGCGCACCGAUUCUCUCCGGGAAUCGUCCACAAGAGCCCGAGUCCGCCCUCUCCUUCCGGCAGCGGCCGCGCCGAGCCCGCGGCCCUGGACGCCCGCCCCACCAAGUGCCGGCGCAGCCCGGAGAAUCCGCCGCCCCAAGUUCGCCCGAGCACUGAGGCAUUUGGCACUUGGCGGACAGCGAGUCGGUAUUCCUGCCCAGGUUUUGAGCUGACCAGAGAAAAUCACCAUCACAAUGACCAAAUCAAACAGCUGCAUGGGACCUAAGAG
Long non-coding RNA from Bos taurus (domestic cattle), 509 nucleotides. NCBI's taxonomy places the organism in Eukaryota, Metazoa, Chordata, Mammalia, Artiodactyla, Bovidae. The record is from Ensembl.